This 1058-nucleotide long non-coding RNA is filed under the name Chrysolophus pictus (golden pheasant). RNAcentral describes it as "lncRNA (ENSCPIG00010001345.1)". The record is from RNAcentral. Lineage: Eukaryota; Metazoa; Chordata; Aves; Galliformes; Phasianidae.
UCAUCAAGCAUGUCAUCAAGGAUGCAAGAGAUGGCCCUGUGGCCCAGCGAGCAUCACCUCUAACAAGUGUACUGCAGGUUUCCUGGCAGUGCAAGUCUGAAUUUUUUAAUUUGUCUGUUUGUUAGACUUAUUUAUUUAUUAUUUUCUGUGUAUAGAUCUGUAUUGUGGGAUCUGUAGAGUGGAAUAACUGAGUGGGCUUUCCCUGAAGGAUAUAGUGUUCAGGGACCUCACUGGUGAAGGUGGCAGCCCCAGAGGGGCACAGGUGGCUCAUGGGGAGCCAGCACUGUGGUGACACAGACUUUAGCCACAAGCCAUGUUGAAUUGUGCUGUGCUAAUAGGCUCAAGACCCAGCACCUGGAUCAUUUCUGCCUCUUGAGUUGGGAUGUUCACGAUCACUGUUUCAGCCUGGGCCCAGAAAGAUGAGCAGCUCUGGUCCUAAUCUGAGCUUGAUCCUGAUUUGAGCUUUAAUUUUUAUUCCUUCCAUGAUGUGAAGCCUGAUCCAGAGCUUGACACAAGAUCCCUCCCUUCUCCCUCACCUGCCACUCAGAUUGAGCUUCCUGCCUUCCUUCUGGCCUCCCUCACCCCGCGGGGGAAUCACUUAUCGUAGGAGAAUGAGACAGGGAGGAGGACUUAGCAUCAAGGACCUGCAGUGCCUCCAGAGACCCGAGUCCUAUUUAUGACUCUGCCGCUUUGUACUGAGUGACUUCAGCCUUUCCUCAAGAUGGCAUGACUUGUAUCGUCUUCCAUCUGUUCUGCUACAAAUUGGAAAUCCAGCAUCAUCCCAGGGCCAAUUACUCUGCAGAGAAUCCUGCUGGUUCUUCACUUCAGGACCACUCACGCUUCCCUGAAAGGCUGACAACUUUGUCUCCCAGAUGCUCUGUUCACUGUCAGGGCAACUCUCCCUUUGGGACUGCUGAGUGAAAACACGUCCUGUGAAAGCAUUUCUGCUCAUUUCAUCUGCAAGCUGGUAUGGUCUGCUUCCUGCCCCCUCCCUGUUUCUUCCAAUCUUCAGUAGGAUCCUACAUGCCAAUAAAGAGUCAAAUUAGAAACUACUGUCA